GUUACCCACGUGGGUCCGAAGCUGUCGCCGACCUGCGCAGGGCUGAAGUUCUGCUGCACCGCCUUCUCAUAGGGAAGCCUCUCGGGCGUCAGGAAGCUGGAGAGUGUCACCGAGCAGCUGUCCCCGAAGAGCCUGGGCAGGAGCAGCUGAUGGGCGCAUGCUCGAAGCCGCCCCUGUCCCACCCGUGAGCCAGCGGAUGGCUGGGGAAACGCUCUCCCUUGGCUAAGGCCGUGAGGACUGCCUGGCAGCUCAGCAGCACAGACCAACCUCUACCGUUCGCUCCCCAGCCCCUGGCCUGGCAGUGGCGGGAACUUUGUUCCGCGGCCCGGUUGGCCACGGCCUGGGUUUCCCUCCGGAAGGGAAGGGGAGAGCGCGCGGGUGUGGUAGGCCAAGGACCACACCUGCCGCGAAGGUUACAGUCGGUGAAGUAGAUCGGGGACACGAACUUCUCCACCCGCUCGAAAGUGGUGCGCCAGUGCUUCAAGAACGGCGCUGCCGCCAUGGCGAUGCGCCUUCCCUCCCCGGAAGAUCCUUGGUGCUGCCGGCUCGUUGCACCGCUUGGAACCAAAGGUUCCGGCAUCCAACCAGCUUACAGACCCGAGCAGCUUUUCUGGGAACACCACGGCUUUUGCAAGAGGCUGGCUCUGGGGAGCCUCCCAGUGAAACCCGGAAGCUGAGCCUUCGCGGUUCUCACCUCAGCCUUGCUGUCAGACAGCUGGGUAAAUUAUUUUAAAAUACAAUGGAGUCUGGAAGAAAAUAAUACAGGAGGAAUCUAACUAGCCUGCUUUAAUGGAAAUAACCAGGUUUACAUUCCAAAUGCAGGUUACCCAGAAAAAUGAUCAAGUAAGAAAUAUACAAUGCCAAUUAAAAUAACUUGUCAAAACUUGA
Molecule: long non-coding RNA, 888 nt
Organism: Mus musculus (house mouse)
Lineage: Eukaryota; Metazoa; Chordata; Mammalia; Rodentia; Muridae
Gene: Man2c1os
Product: mannosidase, alpha, class 2C, member 1, opposite strand
Exons: 2
Source: RefSeq, marked validated